RNAcentral lists this ribosomal RNA (248 nucleotides) under uncultured bacterium. RNAcentral's name for it is "partial 16S ribosomal RNA". It matches the Rfam family "Bacterial small subunit ribosomal RNA", at positions 523 to 769 of the family's 1533-position model. The record is from RNAcentral.
GUACGUAGGGGGCAAGCGUUAUCCGGAAUUACUGGGUGUAAAGGGAGAGUAGGCGGCAUGAUAAGUUAGAUGUGAAAGCCUUGGGGCUUAACCCGAGGAUUGCAUUUAAAACUAUCAAGCUAGAGUACAGGAGAGGUAAGUGGGAUUCCUAGUGUAGCGGUGAAAUGCGUAGAUAUUAGGAAGAACACCAGUGGCGAAGGCGACUUACUGGACUGAAACUGACGCUGAGGCUCGAAAGCGUGGGGAGC